AGCAGCCGCGGUAAUUCCAGCUCCAAUAGCGUAUAUUAAAGUUGUUGCAGUUAAAGAGCUCGUAGUUGAAUUUCGAGAUCAGUACGCUGGUCGUGCCUUCGGUAUGUACUGGUGUCACUGGUUUCUCCCUUCUGAAGAACCGUUAUGUCAUUAAGUUGGUGUGGCGGGGAAUCAGGACUGUUACUUUGAAAAAUUAGAGUGUUUAAAGCAGGCUCGCGCUUGAAUACAUUAGCAUGGAAUAAUGAAAUAGGACGUUUGACCCUAUUUUGUUGGUUUCUAGGAUCGACGUAAUGAUUAAUAGGGAUAGUUGGGGGCAUUAGUAUUCAAUUGUCAGAGGUGAAAUUCUUGGAUUUAUUGAAGACUAACUACUGCGAAAGCAUUUGCCAAGGAUGUUUUCAUUAAUCAAGAACGAAAGUUAGGGGAUCGAAGACGAUCAGAUACCGUCGUAGUCUUAACCAUAAACUAUGCCGACUAGGGAUCGGGUGAUUGUUAAUUUUUAAUGUACUCA
This 508-nucleotide ribosomal RNA is filed under the name uncultured Glomeraceae. RNAcentral describes it as "SSU rRNA". It matches the Rfam family "Eukaryotic small subunit ribosomal RNA", at positions 569 to 1082 of the family's 1831-position model. Lineage: Eukaryota; Fungi; Glomeromycota; Glomeromycetes; Glomerales; Glomeraceae. The record is from RNAcentral.